Amborella trichopoda is the source of this 7734-nucleotide RNA transcript. It is a transcript of the gene named AMSH-like ubiquitin thioesterase 3, with no coding region annotated. The record is from RefSeq and is a predicted model, not a curated record. Lineage: Eukaryota; Viridiplantae; Streptophyta; Magnoliopsida; Amborellales; Amborellaceae.
UUUCCAAGCAAGCUUAUCCUCACUGCUAUCCUCCCGCUACUAAUUAUUACCACUAAUUUGCGUCUCUCUAAAUGAUGGGAAAUGAAAUAGAAAGCUCUUUCCAAAAUAGAGGUGCUAAAGACAUGAUUGUCCACUUACUUUUCUUCACUGAAAAAGCUAGCAUCAUUGGUUUUGGGUUGAGGACCAUCAAGAUGAAUCAAGCACUCACCCAUUGUUGAUGGCAUCAUACUCAGAAGCUAAUACAGUCGAUUCCAAAUUUAGUUCAAUAGAACCUGUUGAUUUUGGCAAUCCAGCAGGUUCAUUGUCAUUCCUACCUUGGUUGUCUAGAAUUCCCUUCUUAUAACCAUCAAAGAGACCAUAACCAUUUGGAAGCUUAGCAUUAGACUUGAAGCAACUCCCAAGGACUCAUCACUCACCAGUAUCAUCAAUGUUAUUAGAGGCUUUUCUCUCAACGGAAACAUCAUGUCUAGUACCUUGUUGCACCCUCACCAAUCUCUCUCUAAAUGAGUUAUGCCAAUGAUUUUUCCUCUAGAUAUAUCUUUCAGAACAACCUCUUCGUCAGGAUCAUUAGGUGCAACAAAAGCCAAUGGAUCAAUUGGCGCAAUCUGAGCAAUCUUUGGACCUUCAAUAAAAGUUUCCCUUUCCUGUACAUGUCAAGUAGUUUACUUUUGGGAUAACAAAAGGUCAGCUAAUAAAACAUUUUUUCCAGGCCCAACGUCACUCCUUUCUACAGGUGUGGCAUCAAUAGGAUUUUGAAAAGGAAGACCACUGUAUUGCAUGGUCACAUUGAAGUUCACCUGCCCUCGACCAGGAGAAAACUCCAAAUUUUAAACUCUCCCCCAAAACCACGAGCAACAUGAUUCACUAUCGACUUAGCCUGAUGAGCUUUGAAAGUGCCAGCUCAAGGGGUUUAGGGGAAUACAAGAGAGAGAGAGGUUUGGUAAACAUGGGGAGAGAGGAGGAGGCGGAAACUGGAAAAGUAAGGAUGGGGUUUAAAAAGGUUGUUUUUUUCAUAUUUGUUUGGAUUAAAAAAUAAAAUAAAAUUAAGGAAGGUUAGUUUAGGGGUUGAAAGAUAGGUUUUUAAAAUGUGCAUCGACAAAGGAAUCCUAAGAAUAAAGGGUAUUAAAAUAUUUUCCCAAUUUCAAAUAACGACUCUAAAAGGCAUAUAUGAUAAUUUCCCAAAUCCAAAAGAAAAGUCUGAAGUCCCCAUCGUAAUUGUUCCAUAAAAAUUCCCCAUCUUCCAUACGAUCGGCUCCUCCAAUCUCUACGCUUCAUCGAAGUAGUUGAAUCGCCGGGAAAAACAACUUCCCGGCGGCUCAUGGUUUACAUGCUGGUCAAAUUUCACCGAAAAUUACGUUGCCGAUCUCCUAGGGUUUUGAGUUGCACAGGGAUUGAGUUGCACAGGGAAUCCCUGAAAUAGCAGAGAUGAAGGUUUAUGGGAGAGCGAUCAACAUCUCUGCAAGUGCUCCAAAGCUGGAGGUCGAUAAUAGGAUUUCCAUUCGCUACUAUUGUCGCAUCUCCGAUAGCCUUCUCAGACAGGCACGUAUUUUUCGAGGAGAGAGGAAUGUCAUUGAUCUAUACAUUAUGCUUCUCAGAUUUUCAAGUUUGGUUUCUGAGACUAUACCAUGCCAUCGAGAUUACCAUUUGUUGCUUCCUAGAGAAAAAAUUCUCCUCAAUACGAAAUUGUUGACUGCUCUAAGUGAAUUAGAGUCUCUAAAGCCAGUUGUUAAGCGUCAAAUUGAGGAACUGAAUGAAAAGGAACAUGGUCAAAUUGAUACAUGGGGGCAUCACCAUGAAGUUACUGCUAAAGAUCCAAUAUUGUCUGUUGAGUGGCCUCCUCUCAAGGUGCAAAGUACUUUCGGACAUGAUCUUCAACAGUCGCACUUGGGUGGCAGGAAUACUGGUUCAUCUCAUGUUCUGAGAAAACCUACUGGAGUUAGCCAAAAUGGUUCAACAUACACGACAGGGAUUGAUAGGCCCUUGAGCAAGCUGUCACUGCAUCUCCCUUGCCCGAAAGAGGAAACUUUGUCUAGACAUUCCAUUUUGGGUCCAAAUGGGCUUCAUGGUUCAUGGCAGGCACCUAUUACUGGUAUUAGGGUCCAUUAUCCAAGCAACAUUGACUCAACUCCCAUUGAAGUUUCUGGCUUGAAUCAGACUGAAGAAUGUGGUUCCUUGGCAAUCAAAGAUGGUGCCUCUGAAGUUAAUGCGUCCAUUAUGGACACAGUUCUCUCCCUCGAUGAUGGUAGAAGGUCCAAUCCUUCAGAGGUGACCUGCUCAGUUUCCACUAAUGACACAGUAGAAGUUACUGUGCAGUCCAAUAUCACCAGGCAACCGUCUCCUCCUCCUGUUCUCGCUCAUGUGCAGGAUUUGGAUCCAAUCCCUCCUUCAAAAGUUGCUGAUCCUAUGCCUGGAGAUGCACAGCUUUUGUCAGAGAGGCUUGCUGAUCCUAAAAGAUAUAUGCAUUUACAUAUCUCAGUAAAUAUAAUGGAAGAGUUUUUGAGGUUGGCGAGGUCGAAUACACAGAAAAACUUAGAAACAUGUGGAGUCCUUGCAGGAUCACUUAAAAACCGAACAUUCUAUGUUACAGCUCUAAUCAUCCCAAAGCAGGAGUCAACUUCUGAUACGUGUCAGACCUCAAAUGAAGAGGAAAUAUAUGACGUGCAGGAUAAGCAAUCCCUUUUCUCCCUUGGAUGGAUUCAUACUCACCCCACACAGUCUUGUUUCAUGUCCUCAGUUGAUCUUCACACCCAUUAUUCAUAUCAGAUUAUGUUACCAGAAGCAAUUGCAAUAGUUAUGGCACCCACCGACACAUCCAGGGGCCUGCAUUGCACUUCUGGAUCAAGCAGCGUUAAGCCUCAGCUUUUGGCCACUAUUCAAAUGCCUGUGGUGGUCAUAUAAAAGCUGGAGUCUGCAUAGGCUAGCAUGCUAGUGUUUAUGAUGCAUGGAAAUGAUUCUGAUGCCUGUUGAGCUGGAGAGGCAAAUAUUUUUAGUAGGGGACAUGGGUUCCAAUUCCUUCCUGUGAAAGUGGAAGGAGAUUUUUAUGCCUAAGGUUGAAGGAGGCCUGUCUAUUGGAAUUUUGGGAGACAAAUAACUAAUGGAGAUGAAUAUGACUCUUUUAGGUGGGCUUUGAGUGUUAUGAGGAGCUCGUGGUUUGCCGAAGCACAAAGCCAUCUAGUAGCAGCUUACCCCCUUCGCCCACCAUACUAUUUCAGCGUAGGCUUCCUUGACUGGUUUGGGCGAUUAACUAAUGAAAUGCGAUGGUGUUGAGGAGAUUUUUUUUUUGGAAAGUGUUGACUCUAUAAAUGAGACACUCACAAGCCUGGUACCCUGUACAAAAACUCAUAUGGGUCAAAAAAAUGGUGGGGGCCCCUGAAGGGUCUCAAAAGUGCUAUACAGCAUAAGCGUAAGCUAAAAGUGUACAAUAAGCCAGGGGUUUCAUGCUCUAAAAGUUGCUCAAAAAGUCCCCCUAAGAGUCUUCCGUCCGUGAGGCUUCCUCCCUAGCAAGGGGUGUCGGCUGUGGCAUUGGCUUCCCUCCAAGUAUGCCUACAUGAGAUUUUUUGUCAAAAAUGCCAUCUAGUCUCUAUGGGCAAUUUGAGGCUUCAGUGGCCCAUGACAACAUUUUUGGAGUCUCCCUCGACGAUCAACAUUGGAAUCCUGGUGGGGUUGAAGCUCCCGAGGCCUUCAAGAAGAGAUAAAGCCUCAGCCGUGUUGGAGUUGGCAUGACUGAUUUAGCGGCGGUAAGAGAAUAGAAUGCUUGCUGUCUUUGUCCCUGAAUAGGCCCUCAAUGCAAGUGGGGCCCGGUUACCCAAGGAGAAACUGUCGAAGUUGAGCUUGGUUUGGCCGGGUUCCGCUGUCUCUAGAGGGAAGUGCGAGAAAUUUGGUGGGGCCUGAGUUGGAGUAGUGCCAACCAGUCAUACUGGAAGUCCGAGUAGGAGCAGUUGCGGUUUUUUACCCAAAAGAUGACUAGGGUCUUGGUCUUGUCUAAGAGCUGUGAUUGAUGACUUGACACUACGGAAAAUUCUGGAAUUUCUUUCGGUCUAGAUAAUCCACAAAGUGGCAGCCACGGCUGCCUGCCAAAGAAGGAUCCCCGACUUCGACCAUGGAGCGGGAGAGGUGGGGUAUCGAUUGUGGUGUAACCCACGACCAAUUGAAGAGUUGCAAGAGGUAUUAUCCUAAGAGGGUUCUAGCAACCUUGCAGUGGAUAAAAAUAUGGAGGGUUGGUUUCAACGUUAUCAGUGCACUUUAAAGGAUUGGGGAGAUUGGAGAGAGUGAGGAACCAUCGGCUUAGUGUUGGAUACCCCAUCUUGGGUGUACCAUACUUUACCCCCUUCGAACCCUCUUGUUGAGCUACCAAACUACAAGGCAACAAGGUAUUAGUAUUUUCAACAAGGUAUUAGUAUUUUCAUUUCGUCUAAGGGGGGAAAACACUAGACAAACCACUCCCAGUUGUGAACUCUUUUCAAAGAGACGGGUGUAGGGUAGGAUACGGGCUAACCCACCCGGAUGUUACCCCAUAGUUUGUUUACCACUCCGCCGGGCAGUAGAGAUAAAAGAGAGAAGAGAUUGAAUCUUCUUUUAUAGAGGACGAGGGAGUUUUAAUGGAGGGAGACUAGUCACCAUGAUCUUCCAACCAAUGCUUGAUUCCCUUCCAUAAUCUCAUCGCUAUGCUCCAGUGAGGAGAAUCUUAUUCCUUUGCAACAUCAACAUCAUCAUAGCUUUUUUCUAAUUAUUUGGGGUCAGUUUCACGAAUCUUGGUCUGCCAUUCUACUCUAUCAAGAGCAAUCUCGAUCAUUCCAGUUAGGGAUUGAAAUCUUAAGUUACAAGAGAUGCAAAUUCCCUAGCAUUGUAGUAUAGUAUAACAAUGCGGGAUAGUCAAGUAGUAUAGUAUACCGGUAAGGUAUAUAUCUUUCAGCCGGCUCAUAUGUACAAGUGCGUCCCCUAUCUAAUUUUCGUCUUAAAGGUGGAGUUUUUAUCCAUAUUUUUAGGGGUUCAUGAUCGAGGCCAAGGUGAUUAUGAAUAUACCCAAAAAAAUAAAAUAAAAUUGAAACUUAAAAUAGGUUCUUUUUUUAAGGGAUUAUUUGCACAUCCAUAAGUUGUUUGGUCCAGCUCACUUUAAGAUGGACGUUCUAAGGUCAGCGGGCUUUUGCGCUCGCUGAUUCAUCUUACAACGUUUUCUUUGAAUAUAGUAGUAGGGUUGAGAAUGGGCUGGAUUUGGUCCGGAUCCCUCGGGAUUCGGUCCGGAUCCUCCGGGAUUUGGAUUCAUAUCCGAAAAGUAUACAUGGGAUCCAAAUCCUGAUCCAGACCUGAAUGGAUAUAAGAAAAAUUAAUUUAUAUAUUAGUUUAUUUAUUAAUUUAUAUCUAUAAAAUACUAUAUAGCAAAAAAUACUAUAUAACAUAUAUGUAUAUAAUAUCUUCAUAAUUGGGUUGGAUCAGGAUCGGAUCUACCUAAACCUAGAUCCGAUCUUAAUUACUAUUUGGAUCUGGAUCCAAUCCAUGGGAUCCAAAUCUUGGAUCCAGAUAGGAUCCAAAUCUUGGAUCCAGUUAGGAUCCAAAUUUCGGGUUUUGGAUCCAAACUGGGUAAAUUCUCAGCCCUAUAUUGUAGCAUCUUGUAUAGUACAUAAAUAUGUAUAGUUGUACAUAGUAAAUUUAAAUAUAGUAGCGUAUAGUGUAGCGUAGCAUAUAGCAUAUUGUGUAGUAUUUAUUAUAUAUAAGUAUAUUAUUGCAUAGGAGUAUUGUAUAGUAUAGUAGUGUACUAUUAUAGUAGUGCUUGGGGCCUUAAUUUUUAACUAGAUGGAGCUUAGUCCUAUAUAAUUUAUCAUUCCAUCUCAAUUAAGUUUGGACCGAGCUUCCCCACAUUUUGGGAUCAAGAUCCCUAGAGUUCAGGACCUGAUCCCUACGAUAGGAAGCUGCCUGCAUGUCAGGAUUCCAUGGUCUUAAUACCAAUACCAAUCCCAAUCUUCGAUCUUAUUUGAUCCCUGAUCCCAAUUUAGAAAAUAGUGUUGGUUUCAGUAUUCUGUAAGUUGCCUCCUAGAUCCUGUCUUUGGAUGGUCGACAUGAACGUUGUGAGGGAGACUAAGUGAAGAUUGGAAGGGGAAUAGAAAUUUGCUUUUGGUGCAUUGGAAUCGCACAACGCGUAGCAUUUUGUGAGAGGGGGAAAUGAGAGGGAGUUCAAUAAGAUAGAUUUGUGGCUUAUUUCAAAUAUAUCUCGGUUUUCAAGCUGUUCUGGGUGGUUUUCAUUGAGAACCCCCCUCCCGAAAGCAGAUUUUUUAGACAACUUCCUCCUAAUCAUUUUUUUUUUCCUCGUAAUUUUUACCCCAAAAUUAACUUUUAUAGUAAAUAUCUCUCAAGUAAAAAUCUCUUAGUUCCAUAGAUCUCUUUGUUUGUACAUGAUGGCGUCACAUUUCCGUAGGACACUUAAUGACCAAAUAUGGUCUGACGCAUAUGCCUACUGGUCCAAUAGGGGGGUGCACUUGGUCCGGCAUAGUAUUUUUUGUCGGUUUGGCAGAAGGUGCUGUCUGUUCAGCAGAAUUGUGUGGUGGUCCGGUAGUAGGUGUAUUGAUCUUGGCCCGACAUGUGAAAUUUUGCUCCGGCAAUGUGUACUGUCGGUCCAACACUCUUUUGCAGCAGUCUGGCAGUGAGCCGACUAGCAUGGGUUGUGUGAUGGAUUGUUCUUAUGACAUGGUACCGGGGAUGUAAAGCCAUUUUGUGUGGACCAUGACAUUUGAGUAAUGAUCUUAUAGGACCCUCCCACACCUAUAAGAAUGGGACCCCUACUGAUUACUGUAGGAUUUCGAUUCAGAUCUCAAGGUAAAAUUUGAAUCCCUCUUCCUUUUUCAUUAGAAAAAUAUUUUUUGUCUCUCUCUCAACGGAGACCCUACUUUUCCCUGAAAAGGCCUACCUAUUAUCAUCAGCAACCAUUAAUCUCUCCUCGACACCUCUCUCUACUUCCUCAGACCUUAACACCAAUACCCACUAACCCUCUUCCUCAACCCCAAAUUUUAAGAAAAAUGUAGAACUUAACCAAGAUUUUAAUUCAAACCAGUAACCCAAUCGCCAGGAUUUCAAUUCAAAACAGUAACAAAAAGCUAGGUUUUCAAUUCAAAUCAUCAGUAAGCCAGGUUUUCAAUUCAAACCAGUAACCUUCCAGACUCAGCUCUCUCUCUCUCUCUCUACUAUGCCAAGCUUUGCAACAAUUUUAAUUGCGAUUUUCUCUCUCCUCAAUCACCGUGCGUCUCCAAAGCCCCAUCCUUCAGGUUCUCUUUUCCAGCCACCUCCUUUUUCUCUCUCCCACAUAUGCUUUAUAAUUUUCUAAGAGAGGGCUUCUGAUACGAGAUAGACAGAGAGGGUAUCCUUUUAGAGGGAGGGGGGGUUCUUGAGAGAGAGAGAGAAACGGUUGGAGUCUCAGUUGAUAGUGAGGGGGCCUUUGCCAAACGAAAGAGGGAGAUGAGUGGAGAGACAUGCAAGCUUAUUGCCAUAUAGAGAAGAAGUGGGGUAUCUGUUGAGAGAGAGAGAGAGAGAGUAGUUUUUAAUGAAAGAAAGAGAAGAAUUUAAAUUUUACCUUGAAAUAUGAAUUCAAAUUUUAUGAUAAUUUGUAGGGAUUUCAUAUUUGUUGGUAUGGGAGGGUCCUAUAAGCUCAUGACAUUUUUAUCUAAAGAAUUAUUCUUUUUAAUUUGGAGGAUAUUUAUUGUAAAAGCUAGUUUUUGGAUAAAAGUUGAGAAAAAAAAAAAAAAAAAA